Molecule: long non-coding RNA, 2598 nt
Filed under: Arachis ipaensis
Lineage: Eukaryota; Viridiplantae; Streptophyta; Magnoliopsida; Fabales; Fabaceae
Description: long non-coding RNA (AIPA_LNC000731)
Source: RNAcentral
AGUCUAAGAUGUCACCGCCAAACAUGAAAAAAGGAAAGAGAAAUAGAAAUAUCAUAGGUAAUUACAUUACAAACAAAUUAUGAAUUGUUUUCAACUUAUGUACCAAACCCAGUGGGUGAAUUGGCAACUAAGUAUAGACAAUAGAAUUCCCAAAUAGUUGAUAAUAUGAUGCAAGGUGCACUGCCUAUGAAAGAAUGAAACUUGGUUAGUUUGAUGAAUUGACAUCUUCCUUCCCCAAGUACAAUAUUCUCUAUAUUUAAUCACAAAUAUCUAUCUCCUCUACACAGCCAGAAGGAUGACCACUUUCUGUUACUAUGAGGAUGAUACAUGCCACCCAAAGGGGAAAAUGGUUUUGUGAAGUCACAAACAAUUAGUCAUAGAAAGAAUCCUGUAUAAUCCAAGACAAUGAAAGGGAAUUUAAAUAAUAUGAAAAUUUGAAAGACUAGAAUCUAGAUGACACUUGAUACAAGGCUGAUAAAUCAAAAUAGGGUGAAGGGUGACUUACUUCUGAUUAAUCUUAUCAAAUUCUGCCAAGAGAAGGUCCAUUCCUUUCUUAUCAUCUCUCAGUAGAGGUUUUUUCAACUCCUUUUCAACUUUGUCCAAUGCUUCCAUCAUCAUAGCCUCAGCGCCAAGAUCAUCCGUAAGACCAUCCCUGUAAAAUAGUAUAUAAAUAAAAUAUAAAAUGCCACGUGAAAAGAACUCAAGAUAUAAAGACAAGGGAUGUUUGGCGUUAUGUUGCCUUAAAACAAGAGAACAACAAGUACAAGAAUUACAUAACACAUAUCAUACCUAUUCUUGAACUUAGCAUAAAGAACAAAGCAUAACAAUAAAAUGACAAAGGUAACACAUGAACAAGCACAUAUACAGUUACUAAUGGAUAUAGUAGAAUAGAUCAUCACGGACUUGAUUCUUAUUUCCCGCAAGGUUAAAAGAUAAGUGCGAGCAUCAGGAAUAUCUUGUGUUUCCAUUUCAAUGAUUCCUUUGAUACUUUGGGACUCUGAGAGCAAGUUUGCCCUGCAGGAUGAACAAGGCAUUAUAAUCAGAACUUUUUAUAAUAAUAAUAAUAAUAGUAUUGAGCAGAGAAUUACAAUAAAACAAAAACUAAAAGAGAGUCUUACUUUUGCCUAACAGUUUUCAUGACAUUUGCGUACUGAGAAACAGCAGCUGGAUCAUCUGGAUCAAUGGUAAUCUUUUCCUUCUUUAAUAUUCCCAUGGCAGUCUCAAACUUGUUCUUCAACUCCACAAAAAUGUUCUUUAGCAUCUCUAUUUCCCCAUUCAAUGAAGAGUGCAUUGUCAGACAGUGACAGAAAAGACAAAAAAGGAAAGNNNNNNNNNNNNNNNNNNNNNNNNNNNNNNNNNNNNNNNNNNNNNNAAUAAAUCGAAAUAAGACUCGAUGAAAGUCUAACUACUAGAAUAAAUAGAGCCCAAAAUCUCACAUCAUCAAUGAGCUCUCGUAAGCUCAAAUUACCACUGGUGGAUAAGAAAUCAAUUUGAUAAAAAAAAAUAAUACAGAUAUACGGGAGAACUGACCAUCUCCCUUGAGGGAAGGAGGGGCAGACCCUUUGGCAAAGUGACGAACAGGAAUAGCAUGCUCCUUUUGCAGAAAUACUUGACUGGCAUAGACCUAUAAGAAGAGAGAGAAAAUUCAGCCAGAGAAAUGAGAUGGGGAAAACAUAUAUCAGUAAGAUAGGGUGUCAUGAGCAAUACCUCUUCAAUUGCGUUUCCAUUGCCUCAAAAGCUUCUUUCUUCAGUUCCUGCAGUUGUGCUUUGGCUAUUUUAAGCUCUAGCUGAUCUUCCAACUUUGGUAGAUCUUCUUUCCGAAUUCCAAGUCUAAGAUGUCACCGCCAAACAUGAAAAAAGGAAAGAGAAAUAGAAAUAUCAUAGGUAAUUACAUUACAAACAAAUUAUGAAUUGUUUUCAACUUAUGUACCAAACCCAGUGGGUGAAUUGGCAACUAAGUAUAGACAAUAGAAUUCCCAAAUAGUUGAUAAUAUGAUGCAAGGUGCACUGCCUAUGAAAGAAUGAAACUUGGUUAGUUUGAUGAAUUGACAUCUUCCUUCCCCAAGUACAAUAUUCUCUAUAUUUAAUCACAAAUAUCUAUCUCCUCUACACAGCCAGAAGGAUGACCACUUUCUGUUACUAUGAGGAUGAUACAUGCCACCCAAAGGGGAAAAUGGUUUUGUGAAGUCACAAACAAUUAGUCAUAGAAAGAAUCCUGUAUAAUCCAAGACAAUGAAAGGGAAUUUAAAUAAUAUGAAAAUUUGAAAGACUAGAAUCUAGAUGACACUUGAUACAAGGCUGAUAAAUCAAAAUAGGGUGAAGGGUGACUUACUUCUGAUUAAUCUUAUCAAAUUCUGCCAAGAGAAGGUCCAUUCCUUUCUUAUCAUCUCUCAGUAGAGGUUUUUUCAACUCCUUUUCAACUUUGUCCAAUGCUUCCAUCAUCAUAGCCUCAGCGCCAAGAUCAUCCGUAAGACCAUCCCUGUAAAAUAGUAUAUAAAUAAAAUAUAAAAUGCCACGUGAAAAGAACUCAAGAUAUAAAGACAAGGGAUGUUUGGCGUUAUGUUGCCUUAAAACAAGAGAACAACAAGUACAAGAAUU